CUUGCUGCACCCUUGUCUUUUGCGUACCGUAUGUUUCCUCGGCGGGCUUGCCYGCCGGUUGGACAUUAUCAAACCUUUUUGUAGUUGCAAUCAGCGUCAGAAAACAAACAAUAAUUACAACUUUCAACAACGGAUCUCUUGGUUCUGGCAUCGAUGAAGAACGCAGCGAAAUGCGAAAAGUAGUGUGAAUUGCAGAAUUCAGUGAAUCAUCGAAUCUUUGAACGCACAUUGCGCCCCUUGGUAUUCCAUGGGGCAUGCCUGUUCGAGCGUCAUUUUGUACCCUCAAGCACUGCUUGGUGUUGGGCGUUUGUCCUGCAAAGGACUCGCCUGAAAGCGAUUGGCGGCCAACGUACUGGUGGUAGAGCGCAGCACAAUUUGCGUCUCUCCCUUCUACGUCGGCGUCCAUGAAGCCUUUUUUCAACGUUUGACCUCGGAUCAGGUAGGGAUACCCGCUGAACUUAAGCAUAUCAAUA
RNAcentral lists this ribosomal RNA (473 nucleotides) under Leptosphaeria sp. B3 MLB-2013. Its description in RNAcentral is "eukaryotic LSU rRNA". The stretch from base 119 to 272 matches the Rfam family "5.8S ribosomal RNA". Lineage: Eukaryota; Fungi; Ascomycota; Dothideomycetes; Pleosporales; Leptosphaeriaceae. The record is from RNAcentral.